Molecule: unclassified non-coding RNA, 1667 nt
Filed under: Hevea brasiliensis (rubber tree)
Lineage: Eukaryota; Viridiplantae; Streptophyta; Magnoliopsida; Malpighiales; Euphorbiaceae
Source: RNAcentral
GGCAAAAUGGCGCUUCAACAGAAUGUUGACGUGUCCUCCUUGGAAAACUGGAUUUGCGAUAAGAAGGGAGACCAAAGGCAAGGCCUUUGGAAAAUGAAAACCUCUUGAUCUAUACACGGAAGAGAAAAUUGUACCAUCAAAAUCAACACGCUCCAUUCUCCUCUCAAACCUUUCUAUUUCGGCUUUUACCCAAUAAUCAAAACAGACUUCUCAUCUUGAAUUUCAGUAAUGGCAAAACCCUUCCUGGAUACUACUUCCACCAUCAUCGAAGAAAGAGAGGAACUCAUUAUUUCACCAGUUGGUGAUUGUAAGCCAAUUCUGAGAACAGCCCAUUUCCUGAAACCUAUUAUAGCCUCCAUUGAUGAACCUGAUCUUCCUUCUUACUCUGUGUCUUUACCUCUGCCACCAGCCUUUGCACCCAGCUUCAAGGUCUCGUUUGGAGCGUGGAGACACCAUCAUCAAGAUUGGAACAAAUGGGUUUCUUGCAUGCAUUCGAUACACCAUUCUGCUUGGGAAAAGGCUGGUAUUUGUGAAGCAAUUCUGAGUUCCACUUAUGAAAUACCUAGAUAUGAUAAUUUGAUUUUUGGGUUAGCUGAGUAUUGGUGUCCUAACACCAACACGUUCAUUUUCCCUUGGGCAGAAGCUACUAUUACGUUAGAGGAUGUUAUGUUUUUGGGGGAUUACCCUGUUCUGGGAUCCCCUGUUUCAUGCUCUGUUCAGAAGAUAGAAUGGAAGAAGAUUGAAGGGAAAUUGAUGGAUACUCAAAAAGUGGUUAGGAGUAAAGCUAAAAAGGUCUGUCAGUAUGCAUGGAUGAGGAAUUUUAUUCAGUGUGGCACUGAAAUAGAGCAUGAGGCAUUUCUUUCACUGUGGUUGUCAAGAUUUGUUUUUCAAAACUCAGCGCAGACAAUUAGGAAAAAUGUUUUCCCCAUAGCGAUCAAUCUGGCUAGAGGGAUCCCAGUUGCUCUUGCACCAGCAGUUCUUGCAAGUAUUUACAGGGAUUUGAGUCGAUUGAAAGGAAUAAUUAUCUCUUCCAAAUUUAAAACUGGUGUAAACAAUGAAUCAAUACUGCACAUCCCCUCGCCAUUUCAGUUGGUGCAACUUUGGGCAUGGGAGAGAUUCCAAGCAUUGCAGCCGAAUCCUAACAUGAUCAUCCGAGGUGAUCCAAGAUUUUCCCGAUGGAACAAAGUGAGAUUUUCAAAAGUUGACGAUGUUGGGUUGGCUUUAGCUUCUGCUGGAGAGAGUUUUGUUUGGCGACCUUAUGCAAAACUUCUGCAUAAUUGGCGCUUUCCCAGGUUUUACAAUGAAAAAGAAGAGUGGCUAUCAACAGAUUUGGGUUCAGAUAGGGAUCUGGAGUCAUUUGCUUGUUGCUUGAGGGUCUCCAAACUUGUUGGAAUAGGAUUUAUAGAAAACUACUUUCCACAUCGAGUAGCAAUGCAAUUUGGAAUUGAUCAGGAUAUUCCAGGUCAUGUAGAACAAUGUGAUGAGACUUCAGAAGUUGGUUGGACAAAUUACUCUAGGCCUAUCGUUGAUUCAAAGUUUUAUGUCCCAUCAAGACUCUUCCAAUCGGGUGUUACAUCUCGAUACUUGAAGUGGUGGAAGCAAUUGGUCUUGGGCCAACAAGAAUCAAAUAAGGUUUCCGUGCAAAGAAGUUCAAUACAGAAGAGGAA